AUUGAACGCUGGCGGCAGGCCUAACACAUGCAAGUCGAACGAGUGGCGGACGGGUGAGUAAUGUCUGGGAAACUGCCCGAUGGAGGGGGAUAACUACUGGAAACGGUAGCUAAUACCGCAUACCAUCAGAUGUGCCCAGAUGGGUUUAGCUAGGAGGUGGGGUAACGGCUCACCUUGGCUACGAUCCCUAGCUGGUCUGAGAGGAUGACCAGCCACCCUGGAACUGAGACACGGUCCGGACUCCUACGGGAGGCAGCGUUGGGGAAUAUUGCACAAUGGGCGCAAGCCUGAUGCAGCCAUGCCGCGUGUAUGAAGAAGGCCUUCGGGUUGUAAAGUACUUUCAGCGAGGAGGCGUUACUCGCAGAAGAAGCACCGGCUAACUCCGUGCCAGCAGCCGCGGUAAUAC
This 406-nucleotide ribosomal RNA is filed under the name uncultured bacterium. Its description in RNAcentral is "partial 16S ribosomal RNA". It matches the Rfam family "Bacterial small subunit ribosomal RNA", at positions 30 to 526 of the family's 1533-position model. The record is from RNAcentral.